This 449-nucleotide ribosomal RNA is filed under the name uncultured organism. RNAcentral describes it as "partial 16S ribosomal RNA". It matches the Rfam family "Bacterial small subunit ribosomal RNA", at positions 335 to 800 of the family's 1533-position model. The record is from RNAcentral.
ACUCCUGCGGGAGGCAGCAGUGGGGAAUCUUGCGCAAUGGGCGAAAGCCUGACGCAGCCAUGCCGCGUGAAUGAUGAAGGUCUUAGGAUUGUAAAAUUCUUUCACCGGGGACGAUAAUGACGGUACCCGGAGAAGAAGCCCCGGCUAACUUCGUGCCAGCAGCCGCGGUAAUACGAAGGGGGCUAGCGUUGCUCGGAAUUACUGGGCGUAAAGGGAGCGUAGGCGGACAUUUAAGUCAGGGGUGAAAUCCCGGGGCUCAACCUCGGAAUUGCCUUUGAUACUGGGUGUCUUGAGUAUGAGAGAGGUGUGUGGAACUCCGAGUGUAGAGGUGAAAUUCGUAGAUAUUCGGAAGAACACCAGUGGCGAAGGCGACACACCGGCUCAUUACUGACGCUGAGGCUCGAAAGCGUGGGGAGCAAACAGGAUUAGAAACCCUAGUAGUCCCAUGA